GACGUAGGGUGCGAGCGUUGUCCGGAAUUACUGGGCGUAAAGCGUGCGCAGGCGGUUCGUUGUGUCGGCGGGGAAAGCCCCGGGCUCAACCUGGGAAUGGCCGUUGAAACUGGCGAACUGGAGUGUGGCAGAGGGGGGUGGAAUUCCGCGUGUAGCAGUGAAAUGCGUAGAGAUGCGGAGGAACACCGAUGGCGAAGGCAGCCCCCUGGGCUGACACUGACGCUCAGGCACGAAAGCGUGGGGAGCAAACAGG
RNAcentral lists this ribosomal RNA (253 nucleotides) under uncultured bacterium. RNAcentral's name for it is "partial 16S ribosomal RNA". It matches the Rfam family "Bacterial small subunit ribosomal RNA", at positions 524 to 776 of the family's 1533-position model. The record is from RNAcentral.